AGGUGUUAAGAGAAGAAGGACUUGGGAGCAGACAUCAAGCAUUAUGUUUGAAAAGUGUUGGUAUCCUAGAGAAUGGGAGAAAAGCAAGUAACGCAUGGGGAUGCACUGGCAACAGUUAUUGGUCACCAGUGUGUGGAAGAUGAUGAGAUGAUGGAAAAAUCAAAAUGGAAUGAGGAGAAUUCAUAUGUUAUUUACUUCCUGGACCUUUGUUCAUGGGAUAUCUAUAAGACAUCUUCCAGAAAAUAUCUUAUAAAAUACAGGUUUGAGAAAAAUGAUUUAUUGGAAAAAGCACUGGGCUUUUCAUAUUCCAGUCCUGCUACUGAGGUGGUGACUCGGGAGAUGAAAUGAACAUUUUAAAAUCUACUUGAUGAAAGAAUUUGCACAUAGAGGUUUCUUUCUGUUUGGGGAAAUUGAGAAACAACAAUAGAAGACUGUUUUCCAGUAGCUAGCAUCCAGGAGAUAUGCCCGAAUUAGUAAAAUGAUUUUAAAUGCUAUUACUUCAGCUAUGCCAUAAAGAAUCUUCAGCUUCUGACUCCCAGGCUGAGCUCUUUUCAUUGUCCCCACAAAGCACCAGCCAGUGGACUACUGGUCACUCCUCCUGGCCUGCCGCAGCCUCUGUCCCAUAACAGGGAGCAAACAGCUGUGGUGGCUCAGAGAAUCCGCCAGGUUGUAGCAAUUUAAUCCAGUGCUCUCAUGAGGAUCUGCUGCGAGCAUCUCAUGCAGGGGCUCCGAGCUGCCAGCUUUCCCUCCGAGCUGCCUUCAGCGUCCUGUCCUCGCCCUCACAGCCUAGGAGCCUCCCUUGGAAUGAUGAUGGGACCCAGCAUAAUAUAGCCACCUGGGACCACUGAAACAGUGAUGGUGUUUUGGCCUGGAAGUCACCAGAGGCCCAUAGACCCUCACAUCAGCACAUCAAAGAGGGAACAGAUGAAAAACCACAGUUCCAAGUUUUUCCCUGGGGAGAGAAAGAGCAUAUGUGCUGCUGAAGGGAGCACAAUCCUUAUUCUUAACAGGCAAAUUGACAUUAUAUUUGCAACUAGUGUGGACAUUGAAGACUACUGAGAAAAAUUAUCAUAACUCCAUUAUUAUGUAGAAUUGUUGGCAAUCCUCAUCAAGAUCUUCAAUCUAAAACAUUCAGAAAACAGAAUUUUGGAAACCGAAAGUUCAUUUACCUUUGGGAAAAUUCCUUAUCACAUAAUCUGAAAUAUGCGUAGAAGAUUGAGAAUGUCAUUGAAGACUAAACAAACAACCUGAUUUUAUUCUGUGGUUUAAUGCAUUUAAAACCAAAGUGAAAUAUAGGAAGCCUCUAUUCUCACAAGGACAAAAAUUGGGAAGAUAUACUGCAUGAUAAAAUUUCUUAGCAAUGAACCAUAAGUUCUUCUUAAUGGAUAGAAAGCUGUUAUGUAAGAAUGUCACAAUCACCCAUGCUGAACUUUUCUUAUUGAUGUCUAUCGGCAUCUUGCCCGG
This 1464-nucleotide long non-coding RNA is filed under the name Equus asinus (donkey). RNAcentral's name for it is "lncRNA (ENSEASG00005034641.1)". Lineage: Eukaryota; Metazoa; Chordata; Mammalia; Perissodactyla; Equidae. The record is from RNAcentral.